This 503-nucleotide ribosomal RNA is filed under the name uncultured bacterium. RNAcentral's name for it is "bacterial SSU rRNA". It matches the Rfam family "Bacterial small subunit ribosomal RNA", at positions 368 to 885 of the family's 1533-position model. The record is from RNAcentral.
GCAAUGAAAGAAAGCUUGACGCAGUGACACCGCGUGUGGGAUGACGGAUAUAGGUUUGUAAACCAAUUUCAGGAGGGAAGAAAAUGACGGUACCUCCACAAGAAGCCCCGGCCAAGUACGUUCCAGCAGCCGCGGUAAUAUGUAGGGGGCGAGCGUUGUCUGGAUUUAUUGGGCGUAAAGAGAUGGUAGGCGGUUCAACAAGUAAGUCGUGAAAGUUCAGGGCUCAACCCUGAAAUGUCGAUCGAUACUGUUGUGAUUAGGAUACGGUAGAGGUGAGUGGAAUUAAGAGUGUAGCGGUGAAAUGAGUUGAUAUUUGGAGGAACACCAAUCGGGAAGGCAGCUCACUGGGCCGCUAUAGACGGUGAGGAGGGAAAGAUAGGGGAGCAAACAGGAUUAGAUACCAUGGUAGUCCUAGCUGUAAACGAUGGAUACUAGACGUAGGAACUGGAUUGACGGUUUCUGUGUCGCAGCUAACGCGUUAAGCUUCCGCUGGAGACGCACUU